RNAcentral lists this ribosomal RNA (255 nucleotides) under uncultured bacterium. Its description in RNAcentral is "partial 16S ribosomal RNA". It matches the Rfam family "Bacterial small subunit ribosomal RNA", at positions 524 to 776 of the family's 1533-position model. The record is from RNAcentral.
CACGUAGGGUGCGAGCGUUGUCCGGAAUUAUUGGGCGUAAAGAGCUCGUAGGCGGUGUGUCGCGUCGGCCGUGAAAACCUGCAGCUUAACUGUGGGCUUGCGGUCGAUACGGGCAUCACUGGAGUUCGGCAGGGGAGACUGGAAUUCCUGGUGUAGCGGUGAAAUGCGCAGAUAUCAGGAGGAACAGCCGGUGGCGAAGGCGGGUCUCUGGGCCGAUACUGACGCUGAGGAGCGAAAGCGUGGGGAGCGAACAGG